Molecule: unclassified non-coding RNA, 3666 nt
Filed under: Hevea brasiliensis (rubber tree)
Lineage: Eukaryota; Viridiplantae; Streptophyta; Magnoliopsida; Malpighiales; Euphorbiaceae
Source: RNAcentral
UGUAAUUCGAGUUCAUAAAAAAUGUAUCCAGAUUUGAAGGGACGUAAAAAAAUAACAGAUUUCAUACUUCAGGUCAUUAGUAUUGAGUUACCAAAUGCCAUCCCUCUACAACCAAACGCACUAGGAAUAGUUACCAAGUUUAAACUUCGGGUCAUUAGCAUUGAGUUACCACAUGCUUGUAUUAAUUAUAAUGCCCACUUAAAUUCCUUUUUGUGUCUGAGGUAUCAACUAUAGAAGCAUGCUGCUACCUAUCCAAAAAGUUUUUUUGAGAGAACAAGGCUCUAUUCCCCUUUAUGUCGAUAAUAAGUACAGUCCUUCUGGAGUGCACAGCAUAAGCUCAUCUUCAUAGUAAGAAAUCAGUUUAAAAAGGAGAUGAUCCCUUCAACUGGCUUGAAAAAGGUCAUAAUCUGAAAUUGAUCUCUCCAACAUAUGAAUAUAAGAAUAAUUAUAAAGCCCCACCUAAUUUUAGGUGCUAUAAACAUAUAUCCUAUCAAUACUGUUCCUUAAAUCCAUCUCUCUAUGAAAAAAACCCCAUUUUUUACUGGCUCACAUUAAACAAUGAGUAUUUAGAUAGAUGUUCUCAUCACCUGACUCGAUAUUUAAUCAGCACAUAAGGUGAAGCAGAACAAGUAGUCAACAACCACUAACCCACUUGUCAGUUGCCAAAUCUAGUGAUGGUAGUGGCAGAAUAUUCUUCGGCAAUACAAUCUGUUGGAGGUCUACCUAAGUAUGAUAUUACUCCUCCAGGCUGUCCAACGCAUAUUCUGCACUUUCAAUUCUCUGUAGUUGCUCCAGUACAUCAUCCAUAGAAGGUCUCAUUUCCUUACCUCGUUGUAAACAUAGAAAAGCCAACUCUGCAACUGAAGUUAUCAUUCUUUUAACUUCCUUGUCUAACUUGUACCCAAGAGAUGGGUCAAUCAACUCAUCAAAUUCACACCUUUGAAUCUUAUUUAUUGCUAAAUUGGCCAAAUUAAUCUCAUCCCUAUGCCUUGUUAUAUCAACAGCGGGUAUUGAUGAUAUGAGCUCAACAAGGACAACACCAAAGCUAUAGACAUCGCUCUUAUCAGUUAGCUGGUAACAGUAGUAGUAUUCAGGGUCAACAUAGCCAGCAGUUCCUUGUGGAGCAGUUGAGAUAUGAGUAGCAUCAAUUGGGAACAAUCUGGAAAGCCCAAAAUCUGCAACUUUCACACUGAAAUCGUUGUCAAGGAGAAUGUUGUCUGUUUUCACAUCUCGAUGAAUGAUGUCAGAAGCAUGAAGGUAAGCCAAUGCACUAGCUGUUUCUAUGGCAAUCCUCAUCCGAAUGGGCCAGGUGAGAGAACCAGACUUGGCUCGAUCACCAUGGAGAUGAUCAGCGACAGUGCCAUUUGGAACAUAUUCAUAGAUAAGGAGGAGUUCACGACUGCACAGUGAAGUGCAACCAUAGAGGGACACGAGAUUUCUGUGGUGCAGGCGUCUAAGGAUUUCAAUUUCAUUGAGGAAUUGCUUAACCCUUUUAUAGUUGUGAUCAUAAAGGCGCUUGACUGCAACUUCACGUCCGUCUUGAAGUUUGCCAUAGUACACAGCCCCAAAACCUCCAUCUCCAAGUUCCUUGGCAGAAUCAAAAUUGUUAGUGGCCUCUUCAAGCUCAGAAUAGCUAAAGAGAUGGACCGCAAAGUAAUGCUCUCCUUUCUCAAUAUCUGACUUUGAGAAGUCUGAUGUGGUGCUUUUAGAGACAAAGGAAGAUGGAGCAUAUGGUUUUCUCCUGCGACGUAGAUAGAUGAAGACAAUUACACAGGCUAUGACUCCACCAAGAAAAGCCCCAACACCUAUACCAACUUUAGCUGGCACAUUCGGAUUAUUGUCUGCAACAAAGAAAAUAUGCAGCAAUGAGGUGUUAGAACAUUCAUAGAAUUGAAAAUACUGGAAUUCUUUAGUUUAGUGUAAGACCAAGACAAGUAUAUUUACAGAAAUUGAAUUGGUCCAAUGCUGUUCUCAUUCAUGUCUCUUGCAUUUUUCAAUUAGAAUACUUCAUUGUAACUCAUGUUGAUAGCAUAAUUUGUUAGGAUCUGCUGCUAUUGAAAGUGUUGGUUAAAGUUAGUUACCCACCAUUAACCAUUAUUUCUGUUUUAAGUUAGUUAAUAGUAGUUACUAAUGAGCUGAUAAAUAGAAGAAAUCAAGUGCUAUUCAAACAGUGAAUGAAAUACAAUAACUGAAAUCUAUUCUUUCAUUAAAUUCUCUGUUUUUCCUGUUUCCAAUCUCUCCUUUCUUCUCUUUCUCACUCACUUUCCCUCUCUUUCUCAUCUCCCAAACAUCCUUGUUACCAGGUCACAACAAUUUUGUAGACUAAAUUUUAUUGCUGGCAAGAUGGAAGGCAACACGAUUUAAUUAAAGCAAAACUUUUGCACGCAGAAAAAGAAUUGAAUAUGGUUGAUAAAUUAAAUGCAUUUAAUAGGGUAAUAUCAGACAAUUUUCAACAUGUUAGGAAGAGAUUGAAAGAUACCUAUGGACAAAAAAAAUGUGUUAAUGUGAUGAUGUUUUAAUCAUUCAAAUGAAAUGGAUUUUUUCCUCAAAGCUCCAAUUUUGAAUUUAACAUUAGUGCAACUACUACUUGAGAGUGACGAGCUCUUCUCUUUGAAGUGGUGAAGAGGGGAAAAAAAAAAAAAAGUAGAAAUUAACUUGCAGUAUGCAGAAACAAGCCUAUCCAACACUAAACUUCCUAACUUUCUAAAGAGUUGUAUCCUUGGCAUGGAUUGACUCGACAAUAUGCAUUUUACUGUCAAUAUAGAAUCAUCUCGUGACCAUAUAAUCCAAACUAUGUAAUAUCCUAAACACAAAGAAAAGUUAAUCAUGCACUGAUUUGACUUUAAUAGCCAAGAAAAGGGAGAAAGCAUGAGAAAAUUCCCCAGACUGUAAGCUAAUAUAUUCUGAAACGAAUCAUGAAAAUUAUAUGCUGAUUAAAAGAAUUUGAAUUUCAUGAAGAGUUACCGUCAUCACAGGAAUUAAGAUGAGUCCGAUCAUGACAAAAACAAACAAAUUCAUGAUUCUCAAAUCCACAGCGACCACCACUUCCCUCACAAGUGCUGCAAGUAUGCGCAGUCCAAUUCAAGAGGAACCCCAUCUUCAAAAUUUCAGUAUAAUUCUUAUGAAACAAACUAUACAAAUCACUGCCGGUGUGCAAAGGAGCAUUAACAAAGUAGUUGCAUGAAUCCAAAGAAUAGUUAGAGGAUAUCUCCAAUUUUUCAAUGUGAAACCCAGCAAACGAAUAAACAGUAGAAUUGGCAGCACAUCUUAUGGGAUAUGUAAGGUACUUUGUAGGCUUUGAGGUACAAUUGUACAAGAAGUAAAAAUCAAAAUAAUCAGGACUAAUAUUAAAGGGAGUUAGAUCGAGAGUCAAAUUAUGCAAAGGAGUUGGACAUGUGUCCUCCUCAUAGGCCACAGCACUAGCUACGAGGAAGGUCUGAUUGUUAUAGAAAAUAUCUUUAAUGAUAUAAUCAUCAUUGGAGAUUCCGAGAACUGGGUAUUCAUGCUUACAAGUGAUGUCGAAAUUUGGGUAGCCACAGAAGGCGUCUUGAACGUUAGAUAAGAAAAAGGGGUAGCUUAUUUUGGGGCCUUUGCCACAGGUUAUUGGUGCACAUGCCUGGAACUUUUGAUCCGGUGUCAAGGAUUGCUCGGCCAAAGUGUUGAAGA